GCAGGCCUAACACAUGCAAGUCGAGCGGUAGAGAGGUGCUUGCACCUCUUGAGAGCGGCGGACGGGUGAGUAAUGCCUAGGAAUCUGCCUGGUAGUGGGGGAUAACGCUCGGAAACGGACGCUAAUACCGCAUACGUCCUACGGGAGAAAGCAGGGGACCUUCGGGCCUUGCGCUAUCAGAUGAGCCUAGGUCGGAUUAGCUAGUUGGUGGGGUAAUGGCUCACCAAGGCGACGAUCCGUAACUGGUCUGAGAGGAUGAUCAGUCACACUGGAACUGAGACACGGUCCAGACUCCUACGGGAGGCAGCAGUGGGGAAUAUUGGACAAUGGGCGAAAGCCUGAUCCAGCCCUGCCGCGUGUGUGAAGAAGGUCUUCGGAUUGUAAAGCACUUUAAGUUGGGAGGAAGGGCA
Molecule: ribosomal RNA, 410 nt
Filed under: Pseudomonas sp. EP_R_53
Lineage: Bacteria; Pseudomonadati; Pseudomonadota; Gammaproteobacteria; Pseudomonadales; Pseudomonadaceae
Description: bacterial SSU rRNA
Rfam family: Bacterial small subunit ribosomal RNA
Source: RNAcentral